AGAGUUUGAUCAUGGCUCAGGACGAACGCUGGCGGCGUGCUUAACACAUGCAAGUCGAACGGAAAGGCCCUUCGGGGUACUCGAGUGGCGAACGGGUGAGUAACACGUGGGUGAUCUGCCCUGCACUUUGGGAUAAGCCUGGGAAACUGGGUCUAAUACCGAAUAGGACCACGCGCUUCAUGGUGUGUGGUGGAAAGCUUUUGCGGUGUGGGAUGGGCCCGCGGCCUAUCAGCUUGUUGGUGGGGUAAUGGCCUACCAAGGCGACGACGGGUAGCCGGCCUGAGAGGGUGACCGGCCACACUGGGACUGAGAUACGGCCCAGACUCCUACGGGAGGCAGCAGUGGGGAAUAUUGCACAAUGGGCGCAAGCCUGAUGCAGCGACGCCGCGUGAGGGAUGACGGCCUUCGGGUUGUAAACCUCUUUCAAUAGGGACGAAGCGCAAGUGACGGUACCUAUAGAAGAAGCACCGGCCAACUACGUGCCAGCAGCCGCGGUAAUACGUAGGGUGCGAGCGUUGUCCGGAAUUACUGGGCGUAAAGAGCUCGUAGGUGGUUUGUCACGUUGUCUGUGAAAACUCACAGCUUAACUGUGGGCGUGCGGGCGAUACGGGCAGACUGGAGUACUGUAGGGGAGACUGGAAUUCCUGGUGUAGCGGUGGAAUGCGCAGAUAUCAGGAGGAACACCGGUGGCGAAGGCGGGUCUCCGGGCAGUAACUGACGCUGAGGAGCGAAAGCGUGGGGAGCGAACAGGAUUAGAUACCCUGGUAGUCCAA
RNAcentral lists this ribosomal RNA (773 nucleotides) under uncultured bacterium. Its description in RNAcentral is "bacterial SSU rRNA". It matches the Rfam family "Bacterial small subunit ribosomal RNA", at positions 8 to 798 of the family's 1533-position model. The record is from RNAcentral.